GAUGAACGCUGGCGGCGUGCCUAAUACAUGCAAGUCGAGCGAACAGACGAGGAGCUUGCUCCUCUGAUGUUAGCGGCGGACGGGUGAGUAACACGUGGAUAACCUACCUAUAAGACUGGGAUAACUUCGGGAAACCGGAGCUAAUACCGGAUAACAUGUUGAACCGCAUGGUUCAACAGUGAAAGACGGUCUUGCUGUCACUUAUAGAUGGAUCCGCGCCGCAUUAGCUAGUUGGUAAGGUAACGGCUUACCAAGGCAACGAUGCGUAGCCGACCUGAGAGGGUGAUCGGCCACACUGCAACUGAGACACGGUCCAGACUCCUACGGGAGGCAGCAGUAGGGAAUCUUCCGCAAUGGGCGAAAGCCUGACGGAGCAACGCCGCGUGAGUGAAGAAGGUCUUCGGAUCGUAAAACUCUGUUAUUAGGGAAGAACAAAUGUGUAAGUAACUAUGCACGUCUUGACGGUACCUAAUCAGAAAGCCACGGCUAACUACGUG
RNAcentral lists this ribosomal RNA (497 nucleotides) under uncultured bacterium. Its description in RNAcentral is "partial 16S ribosomal RNA". It matches the Rfam family "Bacterial small subunit ribosomal RNA", at positions 28 to 507 of the family's 1533-position model. The record is from RNAcentral.